Grammomys surdaster is the source of this 942-nucleotide RNA transcript. It is a transcript of the gene named 40S ribosomal protein S12 pseudogene, with no coding region annotated. The record is from RefSeq and is a predicted model, not a curated record. NCBI's taxonomy places the organism in Eukaryota, Metazoa, Chordata, Mammalia, Rodentia, Muridae. The transcript has a single exon.
GCUGGUUGCCGAGUCCGGGUGGUUGCAGAUCCUGGAGCAGUCUGCGGAGGCGGUCCACUUUCCUCUAGAUGCAUUCCCGCAGGAGGAGCCAGGGUUACGUAAUAAUAACGAGAAAGCUCACCCGCGCUCACUGCGUGCCACCAACACGGGGCACCCUCGUACCCGAGGUGUCUAAUUUUUUGUUCUCUGGGUGGCCACCUGACCACCUUUCCGCCUCCGCAGGACUGGGAACUUGUUACCUCCUGCGACUUGAGUUGGAAGUUUCAUAGUUUUCGAUCGUGAAAGGGUUGGGUGUUUCUUAUCAUUCUUAGAAACGCUUCUUGCUUCUGCGCAGCCACUGAGGCUCGAGGCGCGCUCCAGGGCGGAUCCAUCAGUAACUCAACGCCCUGGCCAAGGAAGGCAGUGCUCCUGGAGUUAUCAUGGACGUCAAUACUGCUCUGCAAGAGGUGCUGAAGACCGCCCUGGUCCACGAUGGCUUAGCACGAGGAAUUCACGAAGCUGCCAAAGCGUUAGGCAAGCGCCAAACCCAUCUCUGUGUGCUUGCAUCCAAUUGUGAUAAACCUAUGUACAUCAAGUUGGUGGAAACCCUUUGUGCUGAGCACCAAAUCAACCUAAUUAAGGUUGAUGACAACAAGAAACUGGGGGAAUGGGUAGGCCUCUGCAAAACUGAUCGAAAGAGGAAACCUCGGAAAGUGAUAGGUUGCAGCUGUGUGGUGGUUAAGGACUAUGGCCAAGAAUCUCAGGCUAAAGAUGUCAUUGAAGAGUACUUCAAAUGCAAGAAAUGAACAACAAAAUUGGCUUAUUUUCUUUUAAGUUCCUAAAAACAGAAAAGUACAAUUAUCUCAAAAAUUCGUGAGUUUUCGCCGGAAAUAAUAGCACUUUUUAGGAGGUUUUCUUCCAAAUGUAAACUUUGCAUUAUUUUGUUCUUGUUUAUAAUGAAAA